Long non-coding RNA from Physella acuta, 251 nucleotides. RefSeq lists it as uncharacterized. The record is from RefSeq and is a predicted model, not a curated record. Lineage: Eukaryota; Metazoa; Mollusca; Gastropoda; Physidae.
AAUUUAGACAACACUACAUCUCAAGUUGUGUGCUUACCAUCACAUUGCCGCUGACAUCAAAUCCUUUAGGCCGAUCAUUAUGAAGCUUCUGAUCCUACUCAUUUUUAGCGUUUGGCUAUUCUGUGCCAUCACCUACGCCGCAGUGGAAGAGGAGAUUAAUGAUCCAGUUCGUCGCAACUUACCAUCGAAAGAAAUAAUGGAUCAAGCAAUAAAAAGAAUUCUAGAAUUGAUGAAGGGUUCACAGGGAUAGG